Molecule: RNA transcript, 556 nt
Organism: Drosophila ficusphila
Lineage: Eukaryota; Metazoa; Arthropoda; Insecta; Diptera; Drosophilidae
Gene name: transmembrane inner ear expressed protein
Exons: 4
Source: RefSeq, a predicted model, not a curated record
GGCGGCCAGACGUAUUUCUGGAGCAACUCGGCGGUUCCUGCACCUGGAAAAGCUCAUAAAUCAGCCUUAAAAUGGAUGACGAUACGGACAUCUUCGAUAUUGACCCACGUGAAGUGUGGCUGGAAAAGGACGCCAUUGCAGGAUUCAGAGUGUGGCAUAUUAUAGCAGCCGUGCUCGGUAUUCUUAUGCUGAUAAUGAUAAUGGUCUGCUGCUGCAUUCGAUUCCGGAUUCCGCGAACCAAACAGGAAAUUGAGGCGGACUACCAGCGCAAACAGAUUACGAAGAAAUUCCGCGAGAAGCUCCAGCAGAUCAAGAACUCCGAAAUGGACGACAUGGACCUUCAGAAGGCACUUGCUUAUAUCAAAUUGGAACAGUACGAUGAUCCCUAAGAGCUCUGUAAAUUCACCCGCACACUGUACAAACUAUCGGAAGUACUUAAGCAGCAAACUAUCUAUCCCAAAACCACUGCCAAUUUUGUGCCCGCAUCCAGAGCGAUUAUCUGAAUUUUCAAGCCAGCAUAGAAAGCAUGAACGAGAAGCAGAAUGUUAAGUUUAAG